GACGAACGCUGGCGGCGUGCCUAAUACAUGCAAGUCGAGCGAUGAAGAUUGGUGCUUGCUCCACUUUGAAUAGCAGCGAACGGGUGAGUAACGCGUGGGGAAUCUGCCUUUGAGCGGGGGACAACAUUUGGAAACGAAUGCUAAUACCGCAUAACAACUUUAAACAUAAGUUUUAAGUUUGAAAGAUGCAAUUGCAUCACUCUAUGAUGAUCUCCCGUUGUCUUAGCCAAUUUGUUAGGUAAAGGCUCACCCAAGCGAAGAUACAUAGCCCACCUGAGGGGGGGGUCCGCCACAUUGGGAAUGAGACACCGCCCAAACUCCCACGGGGAGCAGCAGUAAGGGAUCUUCGGCAAUGGACGGAAGUCUUACCGGACAAAGCCGCGUGAGUGAAGAAGGUUUUCGGAUCGUAAAACUCUGUUGGUAGAGAAGAACGUUGGUGAGAGUGGAAAGCGCAUCAAGUGACGGUAACUACUCAGAAAGGGACGGCUAACUACGUG
This 497-nucleotide ribosomal RNA is filed under the name uncultured bacterium. Its description in RNAcentral is "partial 16S ribosomal RNA". It matches the Rfam family "Bacterial small subunit ribosomal RNA", at positions 28 to 507 of the family's 1533-position model. The record is from RNAcentral.